GCCUGAAACCGUCAUAGAGUGAUCUAUUCCUUUUAGAAACUAUCACCACAGAGAUGUACUAUGAAUAUCUGUAUCUCUAUUAGCACAAUAAACUCACAGAACCUCUAGUUAAACCUUUCAGAAUUUUACACCUCAAUGCUCUUCAUCUUUGUAUUGUAUGUGACCAUUUUAACCUUAUGAAUUGAGAAUCACUUAUGAUAUUUUUUUAGUAGAGGAAACAUAAAGUGAAAAAAUUUUAUCCUGGUAUGUAUGAUGAGUUUAUUCAAAUAUGUUUCAAAUAUAACUGCUCUUUUAAAACAAGAAUGUGUCGAUAGUACAUGGAUGUCCCACUCACACUAUCAUUGUCCAUGUUCAGUGGACCGUGAAAUUUUGGUCAAAACUUUAAUUUGGCAUAAAAUUAGAAAGAUCAUAUCAUACAGAACAUGUGUACUAAGUUUCAAGUUGAUUGGACUUCAACUUCAUCAAAAACUACCUUGACCACAAAAUUUAACCAGAACUUUGCACUAUCAUAUUCUAUGUUCAGUGGACCUUGAAAUUGGGGUCAAAACUUAAAUUGGCAUUAAAAUUAGAAAGAUCACAUCAUGGGGAACAUGUGUACUAAGUUUCAAGUUGAUUGGACUUCAACUUCAUCAAAAACUACUUUGACCAAUUUUUUUUAACCUGUAGCUGGACAGACGAACUGACAAAUAAAUGAACCGAUGGAUGAACAUACGCACAGACCAGAAAACAUAAUGCCCCUCUACUGUCAUAGGUGGGGUAUAGUGGGGCAUAAAAAUAACAUCCUUUUUUAUAAUUAAAUCAGCACUGAAUGUUCUAAAGAAAGUGACCUGGCAAAAUGUGUGGUUAUAAAUUUUAUUGCACAUGACUAUUAUAAAAUAAAUCAAUAAAUUAUCAUUAUUUCAAACAAACCAUCUUCCUACAUAAACAAGUGCAACUACUUCAAAUAUGUCUCAUUUCUCAAUCUUUCAUUUCUGCUUGUUUUUAAUUUCACACAUUAGGUCAAAAGACAUCAUUAUAUUUUAAGCAAAGAAAAUGAAAUGUAUCUAUUGGUGUUUGAUGAAAAUUUGCAAGUAUAUUCAACAAUACUGUGAAAAACACUUUAAAAUUUCUACAAGACUUUAUAUCUUUAUCACAAUAAAUCGGAUUAUGAUCUUUUUUAACAUCAAGAUGAAAUUCUUAAGACAGCCAAUUUUGUUUCUUUUAGGGAACUGGAUACACCUUAUCGCUAUCAUCGGCUGACCCGGCCGCUUGAACUUUUGACGCAUACAACAAUCACUUUCCCAUUUUGGCGUCAGAUAUUUUGUUUUAUGACGUCAAAUUUUUACGGGAACCUGUGUGAUAUCCAGUAAUGGCGGGCAAAUAGCGAUAAGGUGUAUUGGAAUAGAUGUUUCCAGGGUGAAACUUAAAACCAUUCGUCCGUCAUUAUGAAUUUCGUUUCCAUUCUAGUUCAGUCAAGUGCACCUAAUAUUUCAGCAAAUAAAUAAAAAGAGCGAGUUCUCUAAUUCAACUGACUUCAUAAUAAUAUUUUCACCAUUUCAAUGGAAUUUCAAUUAUACAAUGUCAGAAUACGGAAUUCAGACAGAAUUCAAUGUACAUUUCAAACCAAAAUGUCACUAAUUUACAUUUUCAAAGUUGCUAAAAAAAUAAGUUGGUCCCAAUUCUUUAUUAACAAAAUAUUAAAUUAGAAAACAAUUGUUAAAUAUUUAAAUUAGAGCGAGCAUAUGUUUAUCAAGCAAACUAUUAUUUGAUUGUUAUUUCAUAUAUUAACUUUUAAAAAAUACAAAUAGAAAAGAACUAAGCAUACAAGGAUUCUACUUAUAACAGUAAAUUUAACAUACAUAUAAAAAGGGAGACAAUUUCAAUUCCUUUUCUGAUAAACACAAGACUGAGAUCUUUACAAUUUCAACAGUAAUGCAGUUUGUAUAGAAAUGCAGUAUAGAAGAGUGCAUCAAUUUGUCUGGUAACAAAACAGUUUCUAUUGUGCAAAAUCCCAUGACAUAGUUCUGUGCACCAUUGCUGACAAAUCAGGAAAAAAGUCAAGAAAAAGGUCUGUUACAUUUUCUUUAACAAAAUAAAUAUAUUACCAAAAACAAAUCUUAUAUCAACUAUCCCAAUAUUUGUUACCAAGAAGUUUACCAACAAUUUAUUAUCUCCCUUAUUCCUAAGGUACAUAAACACUAAAGGGAGAUAACUCAGUAAAAAUCAGCAAAACAUUUGAAUCAAUGUUAUAUUGGUUAGCAAAUAUCAAGCAUCUAAACUGCUAUAUAUUGUAUGAUAAUUUUUUCAAUAAAAUGUGUGGUUUAAGUUUUUGAAAUUUGAAUUUUUUUGUCAAAAUUAAGGUGGUACCCAACACUUAAACUAAAAUUAAUUUGGCUCGUUUAAUUUUCUUAAAAUGUUGACAAAGUAUUUACUUUGACCCUUUUACAAAAAUAUAAAAAUUUCAAAAAAUUUGAACCAACCGUUUUAUAAGAAAAAUUACACUGGUUAUAUAGCAGUUUGACAAACACUUAUUUUGAUCAUUGAGAAGCUUAAUAUUCCCUUAACUACACAACGUAAUUAAAACGUUUAGCUGAUUUUACAGAGUUAUCUCCCUGUAGUGUUAGGUACCACCUUAAACAAGCCAAAUUAAUUAGUAAAGUAUUUACUUCCACCAUAAUACACACUAAUAAGGUGAAAUCCUGAAAUCUGAUAUGAAAAAUUCUAAAGUCAUAAAUUUCACUAACAUGUUACAAUAAGGAAUGUUUUUAUUAAGUCUACAUUUCUAACCCUGCUUCUUCUUCUAACAAACAUAAAAACUUCGGAAUUCUUUGUGUUUCUUCAUUCUG
Molecule: long non-coding RNA, 2825 nt
Filed under: Mytilus galloprovincialis (Mediterranean mussel)
Lineage: Eukaryota; Metazoa; Mollusca; Bivalvia; Mytilida; Mytilidae
Source: RNAcentral